RNAcentral lists this long non-coding RNA (1357 nucleotides) under Coturnix japonica (Japanese quail). Its description in RNAcentral is "lncRNA (ENSCJPG00005003243.1)". Lineage: Eukaryota; Metazoa; Chordata; Aves; Galliformes; Phasianidae. The record is from RNAcentral.
CUUCAGUGUGUGCUCAGCUCCCAGCCAUGCUGAAAGAAAAACAACUUUAAUGUAUUUCCUGAGAGGCGACUCUUCUGUGUUGUGAUCGGAAAAGUAUUAAUGCAACGAACUGAUGUGAAUUUUUCAUCAGAACAAAGCUUAGCAACAUGGUUUUCUUUCUGGGAAAAAUCUCAGCAAUGUACUUAAUUUAGGAAGUUGAGGGGAAGGGAACAAAACGGUAAUAAAAACAGAAUACGGAAAUCCACCAAGCUGAGAUCAGAGGAUGGGAGUCUUAUAAGGAGAAACUUGUGCUGUUCCUUUUCUUCCCCAGGCAUCAAAAAGAAAAUAGCUGGCUGUGGCACAGGGCUGAGGAACCUCAACAUCUGCUUUUGCUGAAGCUGUCCAAGGAAGGAAUGCAUGCUACCCCAAGGAUGAUGCAGAUGAACUUAAAGAGGACCUCAAGGGAAGCAGGAGGGCAGUGGAGGCUCAAACCUUCCCAGCUGGGUGGACAUAGCUCAGGAGGGAUCCAUGUUAUGAUGUUGUUGCCUUGAGAGUAUCAACAGCUUCAAACAUUAAAAACAUUUGCCUGCAGUGGGGGUCAGUAUUUUGUUUUCUAAGAUUUAUUUCUAAUAUUUUGCAAAUUACCAGAAUGUUGGGGUGAUCUAAGCCUUUGCACCAAGCACUGUAUGUUUUGAAAAAUGUAAAAUACGUGCCUCACAGGCAAAGAUAGAGCACAUCUUGCCACGGUAAUCUGGUGAUUGCUUUCAAACCAUUGCUUUCUACUUCAUUGCACGUAAAUAUGAUUCUCCAAGCAUCUUUGCAUGAAUUUGACAGGAAGAAAAUCACAAGUCUUUCAUGCAAGAACAGCUAAAAGCAAACUAGGAAGGAGCAUCUUGGAGAAAAAGUACAGAUAGGACUCGCUGCCAUAGCAAUGGACCUUAAAGCCUGGGGUGUUCCUAGUGAGUGCAUUCAGCCUGAGAUAUUCUCCUAACUGGCUCAGAAGUAUGAAUAGCCAUCACUGGGUCUGCAUUUGAGACAACUGCAUGUUCUAGUGGGACACUGAAAAUAGAAACCUGACCUUAUUAUGCUGUCUGUAAAUGGUUGCAUACUUUUCUAUUACAAUUAGUAGUUUUGUUGUUUUUAGAUGCUGUGGGUUAACCCCAGCUGAGCCCUACAGAGCUACCACCAAUAGGAUGGGAAAGAAAGGUAGAAAGUGAGAAAACUCCUGGGCUGAGAUAAAGACAACUUAGUAGGUAAAGCAAAACUGCACCUAUAGGCAAAGCAAUACAAGGAAUGCAUUGACUUCUUCCCAUCAGCAACAGAUGUUUAGCCAUUUCCAGAAAAACAGGGUCCAUUGUGUGUAGCGGUUACUUGGGAA